AGUGAACGCUGGCGGUAGGCCUAACACAUGCAAGUCGAACGGCAGCACAGUAGGAGCUUGCUCUUACGGGUGGCGAGUGGCGGACGGGUGAGGAAUACAUCGGAAUCUACUUUUUCGUGGGGGAUAACGUAGGGAAACUUACGCUAAUACCGCAUACGACCUACGGGUGAAAGCAGGGGGUCUUCGGACCUUGCGCGAUUGAAUGAGCCGAUGUCGGAUUAGCUAGUUGGCGGGGUAAAGGCCCACCAAGGCGACGAUCCGUAGCUGGUCUGAGAGGAUGAUCAGCCACACUGGAACUGAGACACGGUCCAGACUCCUACGGGAGGCAGCAGUGGGGAAUAUUGGACAAUGGGCGCAGGCCUGAUCCAGCCAUACCGCGUGGGUGAAGAAGGCCUUCGGGUUGUAAAGCCCUUUUGUUGGGAAAGAAAAGCAGCAGGUUAAUACCCCGCUGUUCUGACGGUACCCAAAGAAUAAGCACCGGCUAACUUCGUG
This 492-nucleotide ribosomal RNA is filed under the name uncultured bacterium. RNAcentral's name for it is "partial 16S ribosomal RNA". It matches the Rfam family "Bacterial small subunit ribosomal RNA", at positions 29 to 507 of the family's 1533-position model. The record is from RNAcentral.